AGAGUUUGAUCAUGGCUCAGAUUGAACGCUGGCGGCAGGCCUAACACAUGCAAGUCGAACGGUAACAGAAAGCAGCUUGCUGCUUUGCUGACGAGUGGCGGACGGGUGAGUAAUGUCUGGGAAACUGCCUGAUGGAGGGGGAUAACUACUGGAAACGGUAGCUAAUACCGCAUAACGUCGCAAGACCAAAGAGGGGGACCUUCGGGCCUCUUGCCAUCGGAUGUGCCCAGAUGGGAUUAGCUUGUUGGUGGGGUAACGGCUCACCAAGGCGACGAUCCCUAGCUGGUCUGAGAGGAUGACCAGCCACACUGGAACUGAGACACGGUCCAGACUCCUACGGGAGGCAGCAGUGGGGAAUAUUGCACAAUGGGCGCAAGCCUGAUGCAGCCAUGCCGCGUGUAUGAAGAAGGCCUUCGGGUUGUAAAGUACUUUCAGCGGGGAGGAAGGGAGUAAAGUUAAUACCUUUGCUCAUUGACGUUACCCGCAGAAGAAGCACCGGCUAACUCCGUGCCAGCAGCCGCGGUAAUACGGAGGGUGCAAGCGUUAAUCGGAAUUACUGGGCGUAAAGCGCACGCAGGCGGUUUGUUAAGUCAGAUGUGAAAUCCCCGGGCUCAACCUGGGAACUGCAUCUGAUACUGGCAAGCUUGAGUCUCGUAGAGGGGGGUAGAAUUCCAGGUGUAGCGGUGAAAUGCGUAGAGAUCUGGAGGAAUACCGGUGGCGAAGGCGGCCCCCUGGACGAAGACUGACGCUCAGGUGCGAAAGCGUGGGGAGCAAACAGGAUUAGAUACCCUGGUAGUCCACGCCGUAAACGAUGUCGACUUGGAGGUUGUGCCCUUGAGGCGUGGCUUCCGGAGCUAACGCGUUAAGUCGACCGCCUGGGGAGUACGGCCGCAAGGUUAAAACUCAAAUGAAUUGACGGGGGCCCGCACAAGCGGUGGAGCAUGUGGUUUAAUUCGAUGCAACGCGAAGAACCUUACCUGGUCUUGACAUCCACAGAACUUUCCAGAGAUGGAUUGGUGCCUUCGGGAACUGUGAGACAGGUGCUGCAUGGCUGUCGUCAGCUCGUGUUGUGAAAUGUUGGGUUAAGUCCCGCAACGAGCGCAACCCUUAUCCUUUGUUGCCAGCGGUCCGGCCGGGAACUCAAAGGAGACUGCCAGUGAUAAACUGGAGGAAGGUGGGGAUGACGUCAAGUCAUCAUGGCCCUUACGACCAGGGCUACACACGUGCUACAAUGGCGCAUACAAAGAGAAGCGACCUCGCGAGAGCAAGCGGACCUCAUAAAGUGCGUCGUAGUCCGGAUUGGAGUCUGCAACUCGACUCCAUGAAGUCGGAAUCGCUAGUAAUCGUGGAUCAGAAUGCCACGGUGAAUACGUUCCCGGGCCUUGUACACACCGCCCGUCACACCAUGGGAGUGGGUUGCAAAAGAAGUAGGUAGCUUAACCUUCGGGAGGGAGCUUACCACUUUGUGAUUCAUGACUGGGGUGAAGUCGUAACAAGGUAACCGUAGGGGAACCUGCGGUUGGAUCACCU
RNAcentral lists this ribosomal RNA (1530 nucleotides) under Escherichia coli KTE136. RNAcentral describes it as "bacterial SSU rRNA". It matches the Rfam family "Bacterial small subunit ribosomal RNA". The record is from RNAcentral. Lineage: Bacteria; Pseudomonadati; Pseudomonadota; Gammaproteobacteria; Enterobacterales; Enterobacteriaceae.